RNAcentral lists this ribosomal RNA (701 nucleotides) under Rafflesia azlanii. Its description in RNAcentral is "eukaryotic LSU rRNA". The stretch from base 244 to 399 matches the Rfam family "5.8S ribosomal RNA". The record is from RNAcentral. Lineage: Eukaryota; Viridiplantae; Streptophyta; Magnoliopsida; Malpighiales; Rafflesiaceae.
AUUUGGUCUCGAGGGCAUGGUAGCAUGUGGAGACGUGGUCCUUUGGGGCCCGUGCUGUGCGUUGGUUUAGCCGACCUCACCCCGUGGGGUGGUGUUGGUGGGCCUCGCUGUUUGUUCGUGGUCGGCCUGGGGUGGGCCUAAGCCCCCUCGUGGUGCGGGCUGCGGCGAGGAAGUAAACUAUUGUGGACUCGUAUCGUGGGUGGCUUUUUCAGGCUGCAUUUGCCUGCGUGUGUGGAAGAUCGUGACUCCCAGUAAAGGAUAUCUUGGCUCUUGCGUCGAUGAAGAACAUUGUCAUAUGUGAUACGUCGUGUGAAUUACAGAAUUUUGUGAGUCAUCGUGUUUUUGAAUGCGAGCGGCACCCUUUUUCCUUGAGGAGGGGGCGCGUCUGGCUGGGUGUUGUGCGCUGGUGCCCGUGACGUGGUCGCGGGGAGUCGGUGGCCUCCCGUGGGAGUGUGCCCGCGGUUGGCUCAAAUGGGAGGCGAGUGGUCGCCUGGCUUCCCGGUGAAGAGGAGGUGAGCCUGCGGUAGCUGCCCAAUGCGUUGCUUCGGUUCAUUUUCAUCGGCAUGCCAGUUUUGAUUUUGGUGGGGGCGAUCCCCUGGAUGUGAAUUUCUAUCCUGCCAAGCCCCAGGUCAGACGGGGGCACCCGUUGAGUUUAAGCAUAUUAAUAAGCGGAGGAAUAGAAACUUACGAGUAUUCCCUUA